This is a long non-coding RNA of Malaya genurostris, 584 nucleotides long. RefSeq lists it as uncharacterized. The transcript is spliced from 2 exons. NCBI's taxonomy places the organism in Eukaryota, Metazoa, Arthropoda, Insecta, Diptera, Culicidae. The record is from RefSeq and is a predicted model, not a curated record.
UACGAAACAAGACUAGUUUGUUUGUUGUGUUUCCGAUACCGCUUCACCGCAAGUUUAUAUGUUUGGCUGAAGAACUUAAUGAACAACUUCAUCACAAAUCAGUUGUGAAAAUAAUAAAAUUUACAGAAAUUUGUUCCGACUAAUUGAAGUCUCAAAAGUAAGUGAAACGGAAGAAAAUUAACAUUGGAGUUCGAUGGUUGUGGUUGAUGUUGAGAUCUGAAACGAAAACCUCCAAUACGCACCGUUGUUCUACGAAAUCGGAAUAAAGGGGAGAAAAACUUGUAGGUGCAAUGUGCAAUCCGUAAUAACGGAAACAGUAUCCGAAGAAAACUAUGACCCAAAUAACUCCCAACUCAGUCCAAUCCGUGGAAGUGAUGGUGGGUCUUUCGUCGGUCAUACGGUGCUUGGAAUAUGUACAGGCCAUGCGUAACCUGAAGCAAACGUUAACAAACAAAAGAUUUGCCGAAAAACACAAGCAACUAUCAAUUUAAUUGAAAAUACCGCUAUUGCGCCGUAAAUCGAACAGAAUAUGUUUGUUCUUUAGUUUUAACCUGUUUUGCCCUAAAUAAUAAUUUAGAUUUUAA